GUUUGUUCUAUAUUUUAUCUUUUCCCCCUUCAGAAUGAGUCGGUCUGUCUAAGGUUUUCAAAUGCUAUUGGUAUAUGUCAACAACAACGUGCCCAGUGUAAUCCCACUCAAGUAGGGUCUGGGGAGGGUAGAGUGUACGCAGACCUUACCCCUACCAUGGUAGGUAGAGAGGCUGUUUCUAUUGAUAUAUGUCAAGGUUCAUAAUACUUUGCACAGCCCUUAGGAUAGCCUUCUAUUGUUCUUUGAUGCAUCUUGGCUCAUCGUUGUGACACGUCAUACCCCCCACAACUAUGUCUUAUACAUAAUAUACUAGUGUGCAAUAAAUUGGAGUUUUCCCGAAAAACAUUGCCAGUUUCAAUUUUUUUUUUUUUUUUUUUUGAGGUUUUCAAAGUAAUAGUGAUACCUAGAUAGAUGUGCUUAUUGGUUUUAUUCUAUUGUGCUUUUCUACUAAUUUUAUUUGCAAGAUGUGUGAUGUGGUAGUUGGACCUCCAUUGGGAUUCAGACGUUUGCUAAAAUUUUAUGUGUAUUGAAAUAUUGAGCUGGCACAGCUUCUGGAAAUAAUUGGCGUGUAAAACAAAAGCAGCAGGUAGAAGGAAAAGUGAUGUGAUGAAUUUUAGAAAAAUACAAAGGUUUACUUCACCUACUCCAUGCAUGAUUGAAGUGUCGAGUGUAGCUACUAGUGUAAAAACCACAUGGAACACUCUGAUUGUUAAGAAAUAUUUUGGUGUUCCAUCCUUUAUGUGAAUCAAUGAGAAUCCGUUGUCUUUUUUCUUGGGAAGGACAUUCGAAAUUUGUGCAACCGGACGCUGCAUUUUGCAUGUAACUAGCCUAUGGCUAUCAUUAAAUAAAAUGUGCCUAUUUUUUUCUGUUUUCUGUGCCCUUCAGCAAAGAG
This is a long non-coding RNA of Lycium ferocissimum, 892 nucleotides long. RefSeq lists it as uncharacterized. Lineage: Eukaryota; Viridiplantae; Streptophyta; Magnoliopsida; Solanales; Solanaceae. The record is from RefSeq and is a predicted model, not a curated record. The transcript has 2 exons.